GGGUGGAUAGGGAAGGACCAUCAGGUGGAGGUGGGGCUAGGCGUGUCUGAGCUCAGACUCUUUUUGGGUGGGUCCUGCUGAAGCUGUUGUUGGGGAUGGGGGUGACAUUCCCAGGUCACUGGAGUUAUGUACCAGGAGGAUUAAGGCUGCCUCUGCUGAGUCAUGCAGGUUGUCAGGGAAGUCGGAGAAAGCUGACAGUCACUGGCCUCACCCAGCUCCCACGCAAACUGAAGGGCUGGUCUCACUCUCACUAUGCCCCCGUAACAGAGUCAGUUUUUAGGCGGAGGGUGAGAAUGGCUUGAAAAUUUGCUGAAUGCUAUCCAUCUCCCAGCCCCCAGAGAAAAGGGCUUUAGUUCCUCCCCCUGCCUGUGAAGUCUGCAGGCCAGAUUCGCGCCCUCCCCUGAGUUCUGGCCAGGAGGCUUCUUGCCCUGUUCAAAUGGUUACAAAGUUCAGCUAGAGAAUUCCUUCUCCCUGUAGAGUUUUACCCCCUGCUCCUCUGGCCGCCCUCCGGAUGGAUCUUUGUGUUGCCAGGCAGGAAUGGGCUGCUUGGGGACCCAGUGAGCUCCGAGGGCCUUUCUGCUGCUUCCUGUACCCCUGUAUUUCGCUCAGCUCUCUGACUUGACUCAGCUCCAGACAUCUACCCCUGGAGAAAGAGCCCAAUGAGAAGUAAUCUCUGAAGCCCAGAUUUCCUAAGGAUGAAGCUUCAGGAGAGGCCUUAUCAAUCCUGACAACAAACUUUUCUCGUCAAUUUAGUUUCAUUUAAUGGAAGUUUUAAAUGUGUAAAGUUCAGAAGGCUAUUAAAAUUGGUUCCAGCUAUCUAAGAUACACACACAACCACACACGCGCACACACGGUAGAGAUAAAUAUGUUCGAAAAUCCAGCUCAAUGUUACUAGAAAAUUUGAUCAGAAUCUGGUGAAAUAAAUAGUAAACUUACUAAAAAUGCCAAAUAUCCCAGAAGCUGCUUAACAUUUGAUCAAAAGCUCUGUCCAGUCAAUUCCUGCUUCUUUCAAAAAUACUCUGCUGAAAAGCCAAAGGAGAAAUGGGGCUGGUACCUUCAAUAUAGAGAAUUCCAAGUAAGAUUAGAUCCCAGAAGGCUUAGUGUGGCUUUCUAGGACUCUCACUAUUAGGCAGUAACCUACCAUUCACCUCUGUUUCCCAGAUUCACCUUGUUAUACCUUAUAACUUAAAAUAUAAAUUCCAACAAUGUACUGCACUCAAAAAAAUUAUUUCUCAAUUUGUUUGCUCAUACUAUUGAUUUUUUUCUAGAAUCUAAAUAAUUGUGAAUUAACUAUGAUAGCAGUAUGCACAAACAGUAAGUGAAAUCAGACCUAUUAAUUCUGAGAGGAAGGAGGUGUCAGGAUUUUCACAGAAGAAGAGCACUAAGGCCAGGCGCAGUGGCUCAUGCCUGUAAUCCCAGCACUUUGGGAGGCUGAGGCAGGCGGAUCAGGAGGUCAGGAGUUCUAGACCAGCCAGACAAACAUGGUGAAACCCCGUCUCUACUAAAAAUACAAAAAUUACACGCCUGUAAUCCCAGCUACUCAGGAGGCUGAGGCAGAAGAAUCGCUUAAACCCGGGAGGCGGAGGUUGCAGUGAGCUGAGAUCGCGCGACUGCACUCCAGCUUGGGCGACAGAGCAAGACUCCAUCAAAAAAAAAAAAAAAAA
Molecule: long non-coding RNA, 1664 nt
Filed under: Homo sapiens (human)
Lineage: Eukaryota; Metazoa; Chordata; Mammalia; Primates; Hominidae
Description: PREDICTED lncRNA (TCONS_00172535)
Source: RNAcentral